Molecule: long non-coding RNA, 747 nt
Filed under: Amborella trichopoda
Lineage: Eukaryota; Viridiplantae; Streptophyta; Magnoliopsida; Amborellales; Amborellaceae
Description: long non-coding RNA (ATRI_LNC001056)
Source: RNAcentral
GUAUAUAUAUGAUGUGCAUAUCCUUAUAUGUGUGUGUAAAGUGCAUAACUGUAUAUAUACAAUGUACUAAUAUAUACAUUUCUAGGUACAUUGAUGUAUAUGACCAAAUAUACACGUAUUAUAAGUUUAUACAGUUAUUAACGUAUACGAACACUGAUAUAUGUAUAUAUACUAUACACACACUCACAUUGAUAUAUAUACUACACACACGGUCACACUCACACUCACACAAACUCUCACACUGACACAUUCACUCACUCACUCACACACACACACACACUCACACUCACGUUCACACUCGCACAUUCACACUUACACUCACAUUCACACUAACGCUCAGUUAUAUAUAUUAUACAUAUGUGCAUGUUGUGUAUAAAUUGAUGUGUCUAUAUAUACGACAUGUAUAUACUGAUAGGUUUAUGCUUGCAUAUAUAUAGUUUGCUUGUUGUCAGUUAUAUACAAUUAUCAAUAUUUAUAUACACUGGUAUGCGCAUGCACAAGUGCCUUUAUGUGUUGAUAAGUGCAUAUGUACUGUGUAUGUAUACACUAAUACAUGCAUUCUGUAUACAUUGAUGUAUUUAACCAUAUAGACCCUUAUUAUCAAUUUAUAUAUAUGUAGUGUGUGUAUAUACUAAUACGUUUGUGCAUGUAUGCAUAAACUUGCUAUCAAUUAUUUAUACACUGAUAUGCGCACAAACAUGCACUUUUACGUAUUGCUAGUACAUACGUACAUUUUUUUACACACUG